Molecule: long non-coding RNA, 379 nt
Organism: Octopus sinensis (East Asian common octopus)
Lineage: Eukaryota; Metazoa; Mollusca; Cephalopoda; Octopoda; Octopodidae
Exons: 3
Source: RefSeq, a predicted model, not a curated record
AAUUGUCGCAAAAAUGACCUUGCGAAUAUUUUUUCGUAAAAUCUAUCUUUAAAUUGACUUGCUUCUCGGAUCAAAAUUGAGCGUGGGCAUGGAAAAACAUACCAAAAAAUACUCUGACAAAAGGAUGACUAAAAGUAACAUAAGUUUGAACCAGACAGAAAAAAAUGAUUUUCACCACAAGUUAAAAAACACAUCUACUGAUAAUGAAAAUCUGAAAAACGAACAAAUCUUAGGUAAAUUUAAAAAAACACGAGAGAAGCGAAUUACAUAUACCAAGGAACAAAAAAAGUUCUUGGAAAAUUCUUUUAUGACGUCAGACUUUCGAAAAACAAAUAUUUGUGAAAAAAUAGCUGAUCAAUUGCAAUUACCAGUUUCUAAA